UGUUUUAUCUUGGAAGUU
Molecule: small RNA, 18 nt
Filed under: Arabidopsis thaliana (thale cress)
Lineage: Eukaryota; Viridiplantae; Streptophyta; Magnoliopsida; Brassicales; Brassicaceae
Description: ATSL209670
Source: RNAcentral